Molecule: unclassified non-coding RNA, 456 nt
Filed under: Hevea brasiliensis (rubber tree)
Lineage: Eukaryota; Viridiplantae; Streptophyta; Magnoliopsida; Malpighiales; Euphorbiaceae
Source: RNAcentral
GUGGUAAAUUAGAGCUGUAUUAGCUGGAAGUCAGAUACAGACAAAUUAGUUUCUUCCAAGAUCAUUAAUUUUAUGAGGAUGCUCAAUAUCAAUGGCACCUAAGAUGGACACAUUUGUAAAUCUCCAGUGCAAAUUAGUUCAUCAUGAGAAAAAAAAAUGGCUUACAAAAUGUACCCAAGUUCCUAGAAAUUUCCAAAGAAACUUUCUCUAAAUUGAAGGAAAAACCUAGAGCAAAGAAUGUACAACUGCCUUUGAGGCCCAUGCCUAAACAAGAAGUAUCUUCUUACAUAUAAAGCCAAGCAGAUUGCGAAAAGGAAAUUCAUUACUCAGCCUGGGAAAUAAUAUGUUUGAAACUGAAAAGAGUAAGUCACAAAAAGUGCAUAAUCACACAAGAUUCUCACAUUAAAGCAGUAGCAUACUCAAGAAACUUACCCGUCCCCUGUCCAUAUGACAUAU